RNAcentral lists this ribosomal RNA (254 nucleotides) under uncultured prokaryote. RNAcentral's name for it is "partial 16S ribosomal RNA". It matches the Rfam family "Bacterial small subunit ribosomal RNA", at positions 522 to 775 of the family's 1533-position model. The record is from RNAcentral.
AAUACAGAGGGUGCAAGCGUUAAUCGGAAUUACUGGGCGUAAAGCGUGCGUAGACGGUUAUGUAAGUUAGGUGUGAAAGCCCCGGGCUCAACCUGGGAAUUGCAUUUAAGACUGCAUAGCUAGGGUGCGGAAGAGGGAAGCGGAAUUUCCGGUGUAGCGGUGAAAUGCGUAGAUAUCGGAAGGAACACCAGUGGCGAAAGCGGCUUCCUGGUCCAGCACCGACGUUCAGGCACGAAAGCGUGGGGAGCAAACAG